This 495-nucleotide ribosomal RNA is filed under the name uncultured bacterium. Its description in RNAcentral is "partial 16S ribosomal RNA". It matches the Rfam family "Bacterial small subunit ribosomal RNA", at positions 28 to 507 of the family's 1533-position model. The record is from RNAcentral.
GACGAACGCUGGCGGCGUGCCUAAUACAUGCAAGUAGAACGCUGAAGGAGGAGCUUGCUUCUCUGGAUGAGUUGCGAACGGGUGAGUAACGCGUAGGUAACCUGCCUGGUAGCGGGGGAUAACUAUUGGAAACGAUAGCUAAUACCGCAUAAGAGUAGAUGUUGCAUGACAUUUGCUUAAAAGGUGCAAUUGCAUCACUACCAGAUGGACCUGCGUUGUAUUAGCUAGUUGGUGAGGUAACGGCUCACCAAGGCGACGAUACAUAGCCGACCUGAGAGGGUGAUCGGCCACACUGGGACUGAGACACGGCCCAGACUCCUACGGGAGGGAGCAGGAGGGAAUCUUCGGCAAUGGACGGAAGGCUGACCGAGCAACGCCGCGUGAGUGAAGAAGGUUUUCGGAUCGGAAAGCUCGGUUGUAAGAGAAGAACGAGUGUGAGAGUGGAAAGUUCACACUGUGACGGUAUCUUACCAGAAAGGGACGGCUAACUACGUG